ACUCAAAGGAAUUGACGGGGGCCCGCACAAGCAGCGGAGCGUGUGGUUUAAUUCGAGGCUACACGAAGAACCUUACCUGGGUUUGACAUACAGGUGGUAAGAAGGUGAAAGCCGACUGACCGCAAGGAGCCUGUACAGGUGCUGCAUGGCUGUCGUCAGCUCGUGCCGUGAGGUGUUAGGUUAAGUCCUGUAACGAGCGCAACCCCCAGGUCCAGUUACACGUUGUCUGGACCGACUGCCCGUGACAAGCGGGAGGAAGGUGGGGAUGACGUCAAGUCAGCAUGGCCUUUAUAUCCAGGGCUACACACACGCUACAAUGGUCGGUACAAUGGGUCGCCAAGCCGCAAGGCGGAGCCAAUCCAAACAAAGCCGAUCCCAGUUCGGAUUGUGGGCUGCAACCCGCCCACAUGAAGUCGGAGUUGCUAGUAACCGCGGGUCAGCCAUACCGCGGUGAAUACGUUCCCGGGCCUUGUACACACCGCCCGU
RNAcentral lists this ribosomal RNA (486 nucleotides) under uncultured bacterium. Its description in RNAcentral is "partial 16S ribosomal RNA". It matches the Rfam family "Bacterial small subunit ribosomal RNA", at positions 899 to 1397 of the family's 1533-position model. The record is from RNAcentral.